RNAcentral lists this transfer RNA (84 nucleotides) under Nanobdellota archaeon. RNAcentral describes it as "tRNA-Val". It matches the Rfam family "tRNA". Rfam says of the family: Transfer RNA (tRNA) molecules are approximately 80 nucleotides in length. Their secondary structure includes four short double-helical elements and three loops (D, anti-codon, and T loops). The record is from RNAcentral. RNAcentral also lists the same sequence under 1 other name. Lineage: Archaea; Nanobdellati; Nanobdellota.
GUCGGGGUCGCAUAAUCAGGUAUUGCGGUGGAUUGACACUCCGCUGCCUUUUUAGGCUUCCGGGUUCAAAUCCCGGCCCCGACG